Molecule: ribosomal RNA, 239 nt
Filed under: Prorocentrum minimum
Lineage: Eukaryota; Dinophyceae; Prorocentrales; Prorocentraceae
Description: partial Bacterial large subunit ribosomal RNA
Rfam family: Bacterial large subunit ribosomal RNA
Source: RNAcentral
GGUUAAUUGAAGAUGUGCAAGCAUCGGAUCGAAGCCCCAGUAAACGGCGGCCGUAACAAUAACGGUCCUAAGGUAGCGAAAUUCCUUGUCGGGUAAGUUCCGACCCGCACGAAUGGCGUAACGAUGGCCACACUGUCUCCUCCCGAGACUCAGCGAAGUUGAAAUGUUUGUGAUGAUGCAAUCUCCCCGCAGCUAGACGGAAAGACCCCAUGAACCUUUACUGUAGCUUUACAUUGGAC